This 789-nucleotide ribosomal RNA is filed under the name uncultured Neocallimastigales. RNAcentral's name for it is "partial large subunit ribosomal RNA". It matches the Rfam family "Eukaryotic large subunit ribosomal RNA", at positions 23 to 638 of the family's 3401-position model. Lineage: Eukaryota; Fungi; Neocallimastigomycota; Neocallimastigomycetes; Neocallimastigales. The record is from RNAcentral.
GAGACUCUGUGCGCGUGCAUAUCAAUAAGCGGAGGAAAAGAAACUAACAAGGAUUCCCCUAGUAACGGCGAGUGAAGCGGGAAGAGCUCAAAUUUGAAAUCUUAAAGGGUUUCUACCUUGACGAAUUGUAGUUUAUAAGAAGUGUUUUCUGUUAGUGGAGUUUCGGUAAAAGUUCUUUGGAAUAGGACAUCAUAGAGGGUGAGAAUCCCGUAUUUGAGUCAUUCCUUACUUCCUAGCUGUGUGAUACACUUUCAAGAGUCGGAUUGUUUGGGAAUGCAGUACCAAAAUGGGUGGUAAAUUUCAUCUAAAGCUAAAUAUUGGCGAGAGACCGAUAGCGAACAAGUACCGUGAGGGAAAGAUGAAAAGAACUUUGAAAAGAGAGUUAAACAGUACGUGAAAUUGUCAAAGAGGGAAGCGUUUGACACCAGUGUUGUUUAGUUGAAAAUCAAUUCAAUAAUUUUUGAUUUUAAGUAGUAUUGACUUCAUCAGCUUGCUGCUUUCUUUUCAGGAAAUUAUUGAAUGCACUUUUCAGUUAACAAGUCAACAUCAAUUUCUUUUGUUGUAAAAGGGUAAGAGGAAGGUGGCUUACGCUUCGGCGUAAGUGUUUAUAGCCUUUUACCUCUGCAAUCGGAGAGAUUGAGGACAGCAGCGUAGACUCUUCAGGGGUUAGAUACACUUGUGCUAAGCUAUAGCCUUGUAUAGACAACUUGUUGACUAUGCUCAGUCAUGUAGCUUACUCGCUUGUGCUAUUUUACCUACGCUUAGGAUGUUGACAGCAGUAUAGACUGU